AGCCGUGUACUGUGCACAUUGCAAACUAUUCUUUCGCUUUUUACUAAAGAAUACCGUGUGCACUCUACAGCAAGUGGCAUACACUUAUUUUUGAAUGGUCUUCCCUUUUUAGGGUGAC
Lotus japonicus is the source of this 118-nucleotide small nuclear RNA. RefSeq annotates it as U5 spliceosomal RNA. NCBI's taxonomy places the organism in Eukaryota, Viridiplantae, Streptophyta, Magnoliopsida, Fabales, Fabaceae. The record is from RefSeq and is a predicted model, not a curated record. The transcript has a single exon.